AUUGAACGCUGGCGGCAGGCUUAACACAUGCAAGUCGAACGAGUGGCGGACGGGAGAGUAAUGCUUGGGAAUCUAGCUUAUGGCGGGGGAUAACUACGGGCAACUGUAGCUAAUACCGCGUACCAUAGGAUGAGCCCAAGUGGGAUUAGGUAGUGGGUGGGGUAAAGGCUCACCAAGCCGACGCUCUCUAGCUGGUCUGAGAGGAUGACCGGCCACACUGGGACUGGGACACGGCCAAGACGCCUACGGGAGGCAGCAGUGGGGAAUAUUGCGCAAGGGGGGAAACCUGACGCAGCAAUGCCGCGUGAAUGAAGAAGGCCUUCGGGUUGUAAAGUUCGUUCGGUAGCGAGGCGUUAACUACAGAAGAAGCACCGGCUAACUCCGUGCCAGCCGCCGCGGUAAUUC
RNAcentral lists this ribosomal RNA (405 nucleotides) under uncultured bacterium. RNAcentral describes it as "partial 16S ribosomal RNA". It matches the Rfam family "Bacterial small subunit ribosomal RNA", at positions 29 to 526 of the family's 1533-position model. The record is from RNAcentral.